This 463-nucleotide ribosomal RNA is filed under the name uncultured bacterium. Its description in RNAcentral is "bacterial SSU rRNA". It matches the Rfam family "Bacterial small subunit ribosomal RNA", at positions 344 to 799 of the family's 1533-position model. The record is from RNAcentral.
GGAGGCAGCAGUAGGGAAUCUUCGGCAAUGGACGAAAGUCUGACCGAGCAACGCCGCGUGAGUGAAGAAGGUUUUCGGAUCGUAAAACUCUGUUGUUAGAGAAGAACAAGGAUGAGAGUAACUGUUCAUCCCUUGACGGUAUCUAACCAGAAAGCCACGGCUAACUACGUGCCAGCAGCCGCGGUAAUACGUAGGUGGCAAGCGUUGUCCGGAUUUAUUGGGCGUAAAGCGAGCGCAGGCGGUUUCUUAAGUCUGAUGUGAAAGCCCCCGGCUCAACCGGGGAGGGUCAUUGGAAACUGGGAGACUUGAGUGCAGAAGAGGAGAGUGGAAUUCCAUGUGUAGCGGUGAAAUGCGUAGAUAUAUGGAGGAACACCAGUGGCGAAGGCGGCUCUCUGGUCUGUAACUGACGCUGAGGCUCGAAAGCGUGGGGAGCAAACAGGAUUAGAUACCCUGCUAGUCCACG